GGCCUUAAUGUAUCUGGACCUAGGGGUGAUGGCCACAUUGUUGAUUUCGAAGUGGAUGUCAGUGUCAUAUUUCUGACUAAAAAACUUACAAAAAUAACAGCUGACCUGGAAACGACUGUAGGCUCCUCUGCCAAAAUAUCUGUUGAAACAUCAGGAUUUGUAAGCAUUAAGUAUCCAAUGAACAAAGUGCCAUACCGCUCAACACCGACGCUGAGUUGCACAUUUAAAGAAACAACAUUUGAUGAAACAGAUGGCUCUUGGAACUGGAACUUGAUAAAGGGAAGUGAGACAUUUGGUCUGAACACUGGAACCAGCAUAACCGUGACAUUCCCAGAGGCAUCACCUAACUGUACCACAGUCCAAAUUAAAAAGUUGUCAGGGAACUGGGCAGGAAUGUAUAAGUGUGGAUUUUCCAAAGGAUCCAUUGUGCACGCAGCCUCUGCAGAGUUGAAGGUAGCCCUGCUACCAGAUCAGAUCACCAUGACGAGUACCCC
Molecule: long non-coding RNA, 494 nt
Organism: Oncorhynchus tshawytscha (Chinook salmon)
Lineage: Eukaryota; Metazoa; Chordata; Actinopteri; Salmoniformes; Salmonidae
Source: Ensembl